UCAUUUUUUGUGUAGAAAGAAUACCCAAUUCAUUUUCUUUUUAUGAAUAGACGAAUUCAUCUAACCUAAUCGUCUCAGCUCCGACUCAGCACGACGAAGGAGACGACUGACCGUGAAGAAGAGAGCCAUCGAUCAGCCGGAAUCGUAUUAAGCCCGAUGUACUACCUUUUGUUGCGUCUAUUUGUGCUCUAUGAGGGUUUGUCUUCUUCUUUUUUCGUCUCCACUUUUCGAUUUUGAGAUCCCCAAUCGGACUCUAUGAAGAAGAAGCUCGACACUCGUUUUCCUGCUGAUUUCUGAGGAGUCCAUUUGCUAACAUUGCUGCUGCUCUCAUGGAACUUGCAUUCAUUAAUGGAUUGUUUUGUUUCUAGUUUAUGCAAAAUCAGUUUCAGGGUGGUAUAUUCAUUGGUAGGUGAUGACCCAUGUGGAGACGGUGAUUUUCCACCAUGAUCCGGAGUUAAAUGUUCUGCACAGGUGAUUAUAGAGUUGUCACAGAAUUGUAAGUAUCCACUUUUAUUGGAUAUGAUUAAUAAGUUUCUUCAAUACCCAUAUGUAGGUGUGAUACUAUUUUUUCCUUGCUAUCCUUAGUGCAUUUCUACCCCCGUGAUACUGAAUAUCAUUCGUGAGACAACAUCCAAAUGGUGGAUUAUUAUCAUCUUUAAUCAAAAUGAAAAAGUUCUUAUAUGAAUGAAGAACUCUGCAAAAUCUUACUGCACUAUUUCUUGUAUUAAUAAACUCUUAUUUAAUUUAUUUCCUUUGAUUUGUAGAUGAUUCUAUAAUUUCUAAUGUGCCAACAAUAUUAAAUGUGAGGCAGACUGGCAGCAGAAACAUGCAUUUAUCCUUGAUAUUAUUAUAUGAAUUGAUGUUGAAUCUUCAAUUAGGUAUCAAGUAAUAAAAUAGCGAGAGAUUAAGGGCUCUCCAAGGACCUUAAUUUCGAAGGUUUGAUCCUUGAUAUUAUUUUUCUCUUAUAUUAUGAGUCCUAUAGUGUUUGUAAUGGCAAGAAAUGGAAAUAGUUCUCUGAACUUUAUGAGGUAAUUGUUCUUGCAAUGUCUGGAUUUACAUUCUUUUUUGGGACUACAUUCACCUAGUUGAAUCUUAAUACAGGGAGCCAUAUUUGGAUUCUCUAAUUUAGAAAAGUUGACAGUAUCAACUGAAGCAGUUCAGUCCAUAUAUCAUCUCAAACUGCAACUUCUACUAAUCCUAAUGGAAACUCUAGACCUUGAAAGCCUCCUCCAAAUGAUUCAUGAUAAAAAGCCUUUUAGGAAAUGAUCAUUUUGGCUAUCUUCGUCAAGCAUUUGAAGUUGGAUCCUUAAAUUAUUUUCUUGAAAUUCUUGAAAGAUACUGAAUGGUUUUGAUAGUGAAGUUGCAGGUUAUCGAAGUGUUUUGCGUCUCAAAAUUUAUUGCAUCUUAUGAAAUCAGUCUCGAGUAUGUGCAAUCUGGGAUGGUAUUGUUGAUUAGACGCUUGACUCAUGGUUUGUAUCUUGAUAGCUCUAGAGAGGACGAGGACCUUCUCAUUAUUGACUUAGUUGAAAGUUUGAUGGGCACUGGUGGCUCACUGCAGUUUCAAAAUCCAGGCUUGAAUGAGCAUAUAGAAACUAACUCAUGGGUGUAUUGCGUUUUCAAGCUAUUUACUUCUUGAAAAAAAGGUGGAGUUUGGAAAUGAAGGGGACUAUCCAGUUGAUUCAUCAAUAUCAUCAAUGCUCUUAUCUUGUC
This is an RNA transcript of Impatiens glandulifera, 1710 nucleotides long. RefSeq lists it as uncharacterized. The transcript is spliced from 9 exons. The record is from RefSeq and is a predicted model, not a curated record. NCBI's taxonomy places the organism in Eukaryota, Viridiplantae, Streptophyta, Magnoliopsida, Ericales, Balsaminaceae.